CAAGUAGUGAGCAUGUGGUUAAUUCGAAGAUACGCGCAGACCUUACCAACACUUGACAUGUUCGUCGCGACUUUAAGAGAUUAAAGUUUUCGGUUCGGCCGGACGAAACACAGGUGCUGCAUGGCUGUCGUCAGCUCGUGUCGUGAGAUGUUGGGUUAAGUCCCGCAACGAGCGCAACCCUCACUUUUAGUUGCCAUCAUUUAGUUGGGCACUCUGAAAGAACUGCCAGUGAUAAGCUGGAGGAAGGUGGGGAUGACGUCAAGUCCUCAUGGCCCUUACGUGUUGGGCUACACACGUGCUACAAUGGUAUCUACAACAGGAAGCAAAACGGCGACGUUAAGCAAAUCCUUAAAAGAUACCUCAGUUCGGAUUGCACUCUGCAACUCGAGUGCAUGAAGCUGGAAUUACUAGUAAUCGUGGAUCAGCGUGCCACGGUGAAUGCGUUCCCGGGUCUUGUACACACCGCCCGUCACACCAUGGGAGUUGGUUCUACCUUAAGGCAAGGUUUAAAACCCUUGACCACGGUAUAGUCAGCGACUGGGGUGAAGUCGUAACAAGGUA
This 561-nucleotide ribosomal RNA is filed under the name uncultured marine bacterium. RNAcentral's name for it is "bacterial SSU rRNA". It matches the Rfam family "Bacterial small subunit ribosomal RNA", at positions 926 to 1498 of the family's 1533-position model. The record is from RNAcentral.